GCCUACUGAGCCCUUAGCCAGCGACUCUAAAGAAAUCAGCUAUAGUCGCCCCUUUGGGGGUUGGCGACGCUAUCAAUCUGUGUCUGGAAGUGCUCCCUACUAUGGGAGUACCACCAGCAGCUCGUUGCAUUCGAGUUCACAGGUCAAACGAUAGCGGCCACUUUGGUGGUUGAGAUAUGAUCGGCCUCCAGCUGUCACCUAGCUGGGGAGAUUUGCGGAACCUGCGGAAGGAUCAUUAA
RNAcentral lists this ribosomal RNA (239 nucleotides) under Cladonia squamosissima. RNAcentral describes it as "partial 18S ribosomal RNA". Lineage: Eukaryota; Fungi; Ascomycota; Lecanoromycetes; Lecanorales; Cladoniaceae. The record is from RNAcentral.